RNAcentral lists this ribosomal RNA (429 nucleotides) under Gemmatimonadota bacterium. RNAcentral describes it as "Gemmatimonadetes bacterium partial 16S ribosomal RNA". It matches the Rfam family "Bacterial small subunit ribosomal RNA", at positions 355 to 776 of the family's 1533-position model. The record is from RNAcentral. Lineage: Bacteria; Pseudomonadati; Gemmatimonadota.
UAGGGAAUCUUCGGCAAUGGACGAAAGUCUGACCGAGCAACGCCGCGUGAGUGAAGAAGGUUUUCGGAUCGUAAAACUCUGUUGUUAGAGAAGAACAAGGACGUUAGUAACUGAACGUCCCCUGACGGUAUCUAACCAGAAAGCCACGGCUAACUACGUGCCAGCAGCCGCGGUAAUACGUAGGUGGCAAGCGUUGUCCGGAUUUAUUGGGCGUAAAGCGAGCGCAGGCGGUUUCUUAAGUCUGAUAUGAAAGCCCCCGGCUCAACCGGGGAGGGUCAUUGGAAACUGGGAGACUUGAGUGCAGAAGAGGAGAGUGGAAUUCCAUGUGUAGCGGUGAAAUGCGUAGAUAUAUGGAGGAACGCCAGUGGCGAAGGCGGCUCUCUGGUCUGUAACUGACGCUGAGGCUCGAAAGCGUGGGGAGCAAACAGG